Molecule: ribosomal RNA, 253 nt
Filed under: uncultured bacterium
Lineage: Bacteria
Description: partial 16S ribosomal RNA
Rfam family: Bacterial small subunit ribosomal RNA
Source: RNAcentral
UACGCAGGAUCUGAGCGUUGUCCGGAAUUACUGGGUGUAAAGGGCGUGUAGGUGGGCUUUUGAGUCGGUGGUGAAAUCCUGCAGCUCAACUGUAGAAUUGCCAUCGAUACUGGAAGUCUUGAGUGCGGCAGAGGGAGACGGAAUUCAUGGUGUAGCGGUGAAAUGUGUAGAUAUCAUGAAGAACACCGGUUGCGAAGGCGGUCUCCUGGUCCGUUACUGACACUGAGGCGCGAAAGCGGGGGGAGCAAACAGG